UGUUCCUAAAGAUAUUCCCUUAGCUCCAAACAUCUAUACCUAUACAUUAUUUCUCCUAAUUUUUUGCCACGUGGCGAAUUCUCCUUCACUUUUUCUCUUCUCUUAUCUAACUUUUUCAUCUAAUGUUUCAUCUUCCUAAACUCCCACCUCUCAAUUAAUGUGUUUACAUAAUAUCAUCUCCAUCCAAUGCUUCAUCUUUCUAACCCUCCACCCAAUGCUUCAUCUUCCUAACCUCUCUAUCUCUCAAUUAAUAUGUUUACAUGGCUUCAUCUCCAUUUCUCCAUUUUUUUUUUCAUAUUGUUUUUUUUUCUCCCCUCCUAUCUCUCAAUUAAUAUGUUUACAUGAUUUCAUUUCCAUUUCUUCAUAUCUUUUUUUUCAUAUUGUUUUUUUUCUUUUUUUCUUAGCGCACAAAAAGGGCUCAUGUUUUAUAACUUUUUUUAAUUUUUUGUUGUGUGUGGAUUGAAAUUAGGGUUUCGAGGAUCGUGACGGAGCGCUGCAAAAGAAAACGGUGAUGGAUCUGGAGUCAGUGAGAGAGAAGAAGCAGAGGAUGUGGAUACGGGAUUGAUAUGGUCGUGACUAAAGAGGAGCUCGACACUAGCGGCGAAGGUGAUAUAAAGAUCGGAAUUUGCCUCUCCGAUGAUAGUGCAAUGAAGAUGUGUGUGGGGUAAAAAAAAUUUUAUUGCUUAUUUUAUUAUUAUUACGUGUGAUUUAUUUACCAAAAUUAUAAAUUUUGUUAUAUCAAUACCUAUAUCUAUUUUAUAUUUUAUAUUUGUGUUUAUUUAAGUCCUAUAUCAAAUCAAAAAAUUUAAAUUUUUAUUUUAUUUAUAUUUUAUAUUCUAUAGUAUCAUUCCG
Molecule: long non-coding RNA, 852 nt
Filed under: Ananas comosus (pineapple)
Lineage: Eukaryota; Viridiplantae; Streptophyta; Magnoliopsida; Poales; Bromeliaceae
Description: long non-coding RNA (ACOM_LNC008092)
Source: RNAcentral